GGGGGUGUGCCCGAGCGGCCAAAGGGAGCAGACUGUAAAUCUGCCGGCUUACGCCUACGGAGGUUCGAAUCCUCCCGCCCCCACCC
Molecule: transfer RNA, 86 nt
Filed under: Rubrobacter xylanophilus DSM 9941
Lineage: Bacteria; Bacillati; Actinomycetota; Rubrobacteria; Rubrobacterales; Rubrobacteraceae
Description: tRNA-Tyr-GTA-1-1
Rfam family: tRNA
About the family: Transfer RNA (tRNA) molecules are approximately 80 nucleotides in length. Their secondary structure includes four short double-helical elements and three loops (D, anti-codon, and T loops).
Source: RNAcentral